CCUACGGGUGGCUGCAGUGAGGAAUAUUGGUCAAUGGGCGCGAGCCUGAACCAGCCAAGUCGCGUGAAGGAAGACGGCCCUACGGGUUGUAAACCUCUUUUGCCGGGGAGCAACGGGCGCCACGUGUGGCGCCACUGCGAGUACCCGGAGAAAAAGCAUCGGCUAACUCCGUGCCAGCAGCCGCGGUACUACGGAGGACGCGAGGGUUAUCCGGAUUUAUUGGGUUAAAAGGGUGCGUAGGCGGAGCGUUAAGUCAGUGGUCAAAUUGAGGGGCUCAACCCCGUCCUGCCAUUGAAACUGGCGCUCUUGAGUGGAAGAGAAGUAUGCGGAAUGCGUGGUGUAGCGGUGAAAUGCAUAGAUAUCACGCAGAACCCUGAUUGCGAAGGCAGCAUGCCGGCUUCCUACUGACGCUGAAGCACGAAAGCGUGGGGAUCGAACAGGAUUAGAUACCCCAGUAGUC
Molecule: ribosomal RNA, 460 nt
Filed under: uncultured bacterium
Lineage: Bacteria
Description: partial 16S ribosomal RNA
Rfam family: Bacterial small subunit ribosomal RNA
Source: RNAcentral